UACGUAGGGGGCUAGCGUUGUCCGGAAUUAUUGGGCGUAAAGAGCGCGUAGGCGGUCCGGUAAGUCGGUUGUGAAAGUCGGGGGCUCAACCCUCGGAUGCCGAUCGAUACUGUCGGGCUAGAGUCCGGAAGAGGCGAGUGGAAUUCCUGGUGUAGCGGUGAAAUGCGCAGAUAUCAGGAGGAACACCGAUGGCGAAGGCAGCUCGCUGGGACGUGACUGACGCUGAGACGCGAAAGCGUGGGGAGCAAACAGG
RNAcentral lists this ribosomal RNA (253 nucleotides) under uncultured bacterium. RNAcentral describes it as "partial 16S ribosomal RNA". It matches the Rfam family "Bacterial small subunit ribosomal RNA", at positions 524 to 776 of the family's 1533-position model. The record is from RNAcentral.